GAGCCAGCUUAGCCCCAGCGGCUCCAUCGAUCAAUGCGUAGCUUGGAUCCUGCAAUCGCCCACAGGCAGCGGUUUGAAACCUGCGGGCACUGCUUGGCUUUUAG
Molecule: vault RNA, 104 nt
Filed under: Podarcis muralis (Common wall lizard)
Lineage: Eukaryota; Metazoa; Chordata; Lepidosauria; Squamata; Lacertidae
Description: Vault RNA (ENSPMRG00000004697.1)
Rfam family: Vault RNA
About the family: This family of RNAs are found as part of the enigmatic vault ribonucleoprotein complex. The complex consists of a major vault protein (MVP), two minor vault proteins (VPARP and TEP1), and several small untranslated RNA molecules. It has been suggested that the vault complex is involved in drug resistance.
Source: Rfam by way of RNAcentral